GCGGAUGUAGCAAAGUGGAUCAACGUAGUGGAUUGUGAAUCCACCACGCGUGGGAUUGAAUCCCCAUGAUUCGCU
Non-coding RNA from Ilex paraguariensis (yerba mate), 75 nucleotides. The record is from the annotation of a GenBank genome assembly. Lineage: Eukaryota; Viridiplantae; Streptophyta; Magnoliopsida; Aquifoliales; Aquifoliaceae.